This 616-nucleotide long non-coding RNA is filed under the name Salmo salar (Atlantic salmon). Its description in RNAcentral is "lncRNA (ENSSSAG00000082161.1)". The record is from RNAcentral. Lineage: Eukaryota; Metazoa; Chordata; Actinopteri; Salmoniformes; Salmonidae.
GUAGUGUUUCAUCUUGGCUCUUUUUAUUGAAGACUCAGGAUCUGUGCAAUAACGUUCCAUAGGGUCUCAGAGCCCGGGAAAACGUUGAACGAUAUCGAGGCAGGCUCUGGCUGAAACACUUUAUCGCUUUUGGCAAGUGGCCACUCAGAGUACUAUGGGCUUAGGCGUGUGCCCGCUUCGACCGAAUGGUUUCUUUUCCUUUGUCUGUUUAUCUAAACGCAGAUUCCCGGUCGGAAUAUUAUCGCUUUUUUAUGAGAAAAAUGGCAUAAAAAUUGAUUUUAAACAGCGGUUGACAUGCUUCGAAGUACGGUAAUGGAAUAUUUAGAAUUCUUUUGUCACGAAUUGCGCCAUGCUCGUCACCCUUAUUUAGCCUUUAGGAUAGUGUCUAGAACGCACGAACAAAACACCGCUGUUUGGAUAUAACAAUGGAUUAUUUUGGACCAAACCAACAUUUGUUAUUGAAGUAGAAGUCCUGGGAGUGCAUUCUGACGAAGACAACAAAGGACCUGAGCCCUAGGACCAUGCCUCAGGACUACCUGGUAUGAUGACUCCUUGCUCCCCCCGACACAUAAACUACUGCAGCAUAAAUACUGGAGGCUGAGACAGGAGGGAUCAG